ACCUGUUCUGCGAGAAAGUAAACUUUGGGCGCAAGUCAUGAAGUCGGCACGUUGGGGAGACACCGUGUCAUAAUGACAAGGAGGUGCUGGGGCUAAUGGUGACAGCCUGGAGCAUACUCCGGAGGCAGGUGGUGCAGAUGGAGAGCCCUCAUCCCUCUAUGCAUGUAGAAGAAUACCUUACACUUGAAGUCAUUCUGAAAAUACAGUGACUCAAACAGGUCUGGAGCUGCCAAGAAGCUCACAGUGAGGAGCAUCAAUAAGUGGACAAGGGCCAGGUGACAGGUGAUGAG
This 290-nucleotide long non-coding RNA is filed under the name Pongo abelii (Sumatran orangutan). RNAcentral describes it as "lincRNA". The record is from RNAcentral. Lineage: Eukaryota; Metazoa; Chordata; Mammalia; Primates; Hominidae.